This 492-nucleotide ribosomal RNA is filed under the name uncultured bacterium. RNAcentral describes it as "partial 16S ribosomal RNA". It matches the Rfam family "Bacterial small subunit ribosomal RNA", at positions 29 to 507 of the family's 1533-position model. The record is from RNAcentral.
AUUGAACGCUGGCGGCAUGCUUUACACAUGCAAGUCGAACGGUAACAGGCCUUCGGGUGCUGACGAGUGGCGAACGGGUGAGUAAUGCAUCGGAACGUACCCAGAGGUGGGGGAUAACGCAGCGAAAGCUGUGCUAAUACCGCAUGUGAUCUGAGGAUGAAAGCGGGGGACCGAGCAGCAAUGUUUGGCCUCGCGCCUUUGGAGCGGCCGAUGUCGGAUUAGCUAGUUGGUGGGGUAAAGGCCUACCAAGGCGACGAUCCGUAGCUGGUCUGAGAGGACGACCAGCCACACUGGGACUGAGACACGGCCCAGACUCCUACGGGAGGCAGCAGUGGGGAAUUUUGGACAAUGGGCGCAAGCCUGAACCAGCAAUGCCGCGUGCGGGAAGAAGGCCUUCGGGUUGUAAACCGCUUUUGGCAGGAACGAAACGGUGUCCGCUAAUACCGGGCGCUAAUGACGGUACCUGCAGAAUAAGCACCGGCUAACUACGUG